Molecule: small nuclear RNA, 158 nt
Organism: Trichomycterus rosablanca
Lineage: Eukaryota; Metazoa; Chordata; Actinopteri; Siluriformes; Trichomycteridae
Product: U1 spliceosomal RNA
Exons: 1
Source: RefSeq, a predicted model, not a curated record
AUACUUACCUGGAAGGGGAGAGACCAUGAUGAAGAAGGUGAUUCACUUAGGGUGAGGUUCAUCCAUUGCACUGCAGGUAUGCUGACCCCUGCAGACUCUCCAAAUGUAGAAAUCUCAACUGCACACUUUCUGAUAGUGGGGGCUGUGUUUAUGUUGUG